RNAcentral lists this unclassified non-coding RNA (174 nucleotides) under uncultured fungus. RNAcentral's name for it is "sequence contains ITS1". Lineage: Eukaryota; Fungi. The record is from RNAcentral.
UUGAUUCAUUUGUAUUUUUGCCUUUCGGCCACUCAGAAAUGCUUAUAAAAACAAAGAGUUUAAGUGUCCUCGGCGGCGCCGAAGCGCGCGCCGAAGCAACAAGUGGUAAGUUCACAUAGGGUUUGGGAGUUGAAUAACUCGAUAAUGAUCCCUCCGCUGGUUCACCAACGGAGA